This is an RNA transcript of Canis lupus familiaris (dog), 3188 nucleotides long. It is a transcript of the gene named solute carrier family 35 member A5, with no coding region annotated. The transcript has 9 exons. The record is from RefSeq and is a predicted model, not a curated record. Lineage: Eukaryota; Metazoa; Chordata; Mammalia; Carnivora; Canidae.
GGGGAGGGCGGCGGGCGGCGGGCGCACGCACACCCCUCGCCUCUCAGGCGCUGUCGGCUCCCCUCGGCGGCACUCGCGCCCCUUCCGGCUUCCCCGUCUCUCUCUCUCUCUCUCGCCGUAGCUCCGCCGCCACCUGGGCCUCACGUGACCCAGGACUCCCCGACACGUGACGCGAGAAAGGGCGCGCUGGGGCGGGCUCAGGACGCUCCUGCCCCUCCUCCCGGAAGCGGAACGCCGGGCGCGCGUGCGCACUGUGUGCCGGGGCCGCUCUCUCCCAGUCCGGACGUUAUUAUGCUUUUCGUUCCGGAAUAGGAGGGUCGGGGGCCGAGGCUUUUUCGCCUUUCCUUCCUCCCCAUGGCUUCCGCAGCUAUGGACCUUAACAGCCGCUGCCGCCUCUGCGGAGCUGCAUGGCCACUACCCCGGCUCUAGGACGUGCGCUCCUCUACCAGAAGCCCUACGGACGGACGGAGGCAAUUAACAAACACUGCAAUGGAAAGCAAGUGCUGUGGCCGCCCUGUGUUCUGCUCCUGGUCAACAAUGUAUACAUUCCUGCUAGGCACCGUAUUCAUUGCCUUAAGUUCAAGUCGAAUCCUACUGGUAAAAUAUUCGGCCAAUGAAGAAAACAAGUAUGAUUAUCUUCCAACUACCGUGAAUGUGUGCUCAGAAUUGGUGAAACUAGUUUUCUGUGUGCUUGUGUCAUUCUGGGUUGUAAAGAAAGAAGAUCAUCAAAGUAGAAACUUGAGAUGUGCUUCCUGGAAGGAAUUCUGUAAUUUCAUGAAGUGGUCCAUUCCCGCCUUUCUUUAUUUCCUGGAUAAUUUGAUUGUCUUCUAUGUCAUUUCCUACCUUCAGCCUGCCAUGGCUGUUAUCUUCUCAAAUUUUAGCAUUAUAACAACAGCUCUUCUAUUCAGGAUAGUGCUGAAGAGGCAUCUAAGUUGGAUACAAUGGGCUUCCCUCCUGAUUCUGUUCCUGUCCAUUGUGGCUCUCACUGCUGGGACCGAAACGUCCCAGCAUAACCUGGCAGGGCAUGGAUUUCAUCACGAUGCCUUCUUCAGCCCAUCCAAUUCCUGCCUUCUUUUCAGAAGUGAGUGUCCCAGAAAAGACAACUGCACGGAAAAGGCAUGGACUUUUCCUGAAGCUAAGUGGAACGCCACAGCCAUGGUUUUUAGCCACAUCCGUCUCGGCUUGGGCCAUGUGCUGAUCAUCGUCCAGUGUUUUAUUUCUUCAAUGGCCAACAUCUAUAAUGAAAAGAUACUGAAGGAAGGGAACCAGCUCACCGAAAGCAUCUUCAUACAGAACAGCAAACUCUAUUUCUUUGGCAUCCUUUUUAAUGGACUGACGCUGGGCCUUCAGGGCAGUAACCGUAAUCAGAUUAAGAACUGCGGGGUUUUCUAUGGCCACAAUGUGUUUUCAGUUGCUCUUAUUUUUGUGACUGCAUUCCAGGGCCUCUCCGUGGCUUUUAUCCUGAAGUUCCUGGAUAACAUGUUCCAUGUCUUGAUGGCCCAGGUCACCACUGUCAUCAUCACAACAGUGUCUGUGCUGGUCUUUGACUUCAGGCCCUCCCUAGAAUUUUUCUUAGAAGCUCCCUCAGUUCUUCUCUCCAUAUUUAUUUACAAAGCCAGCAAGCCUCAAGGUCUGGAAUAUGCACCUAGGCAAGAAAGAGUCCGAGAUCUAGGUGGCAGUCUUUGGGAGCGCUCCUCUGGGGAUGGAGAAGAACUGGAGAGACUUACCAAACCGAAAAGUGACAUUGAAUCAGAUGAAGAUACUUUUUAAUUGGUACCGAAAUGAUUGACAACUCUCAGAAACCCUUAUUUUCACAUUUUCAGCAUGUGUGAUGUUUAUCUUUUCACUUUGAUAAACAAGAACAUUUCUCAAGCAUAAUAACUGUUUGCAUAUAUCUAACCACUCCCUGAAUAGUUCCAUCCAAGGCUUAGAGUCCGCAAAGGCUAAAAUGUUCUAAGGAACUGAUGGGAGUAAUAGUCUGGAGACUGCAUUAAUGGUACUUGGGAAAGGGUGUUUACAAAUGAAUCAAUGCCACCAUAUUCCCGUGGAUAUGUAGACAACUUCUUAAAUCUGGGAGAGGGAAGUUCCCAGAAGAAAUGGUGCUUGCAUUGAUCUACAAGUUGAGAAGGUAUGUGAACUUCAAUGUUAACUAUACUCCAGAAAAUGAGACCAGCUGGAUUCUACUGAUUCCACUGUGUGUGGACUGCCUGCCUCUGUAUCUGGGGAAGGAUCUCUCUGCCGAAUGUUCACCUCAGAGCCCUGCGAUUUCUCCAGCAACAAACAAUUCCUGGAAAUUCACGAUAGUGAAUUGUGACAAUCAGCAACUUUGUCCUCCUCAGAGUCUUCCAGAUUUCUCUCACUCUACUGGGUACUUUUUAAUCUAAAUAGUGUAAUUCCAUAAUAAUUCUCAAAAACUUUAUCUUCUUUGUUGCUGCUGUUUGGAAGGAAACACUUUCAUUAAAAAACAAACAAACAAAACAAUACCCAGAUUUCAAAUGAUCUGAUCUGUACUCCCAGAAGACAGAGAUUCAGGUGAUCUAACUCUCUUAUCCUCCCAUUUACUGAAAUGUACUUUGUGCUUUUCCAGAUUAGAGAAAUCGAGGACACUUCCCAACAGUGUUUUCCUCUGCCUGUGUCUCAGUCCCUUUGCUGAGCUAUGGCUUAUUCUACAGCACCCAAAUGAUGAUUCAUGGCUUCUUGGCCAUGAAAGGAAAGAGAGUUCAGACACAUUGCUAUUUCAGUGCCAGUGAAAAGUAAUCUCAGAUUAUGAAAAAGUAUUGUCUUUCUUUGGUUGCCGAAACUAGAACUUUGCUAAUAUUAUUCUGUAAGUAAAUUGUCUAUGAUUAUCCAUUUGGUUUCCUUGGGAGAUGAAACUCCUUCAUUAUUGUAUUUCCUGAAAUUGAGACUAUUUAGACCUCGUACUUAAAAAUUGUCCCUAUAUAAUUUCAGAAGCAAUGGUAAAUAAAUCCAUUUUUUAUUGGCAAUUUUAAGCUAAGCAUCACCUUGGCAAAUAUUUAAGAGCAAGUACAUCAUCCUGGUCCUCCUACCUGCACACUUUGAGCAGCUGGUGUAGACUGUUCUAAAAAGAGAGAGGGGGAUCCCUGGGUGGCGCAGCGGUUUAGCGCCUGCCUUUGGCCCAAGGCGCGAUCCUGGAGACCCGAGAUCGAAUCCCACAUCGGGCUCCCGGU